AGCAUCUUAUAAUUUUCCUAAUCUAUAUACAUCCAUAGUGUGCACCCAUGUGUAGAUCAGUCAAGGUCUACUUCAAAAUUGAAUAUGGAAAUCAUACUAAAAUUUAUUGGAAUUGAAUUGAUUAAGAUAUAUUGAAAUUGACCGAUUCAUUUUCAUAUUAAAAUCGAUUUUUUCCUUUUAAAUGAGAAAACAUGUUAAAAAAUAAUUAUUAAAUUUGAUUAAAAUCA
RNAcentral lists this unclassified non-coding RNA (227 nucleotides) under Hevea brasiliensis (rubber tree). Lineage: Eukaryota; Viridiplantae; Streptophyta; Magnoliopsida; Malpighiales; Euphorbiaceae. The record is from RNAcentral.